RNAcentral lists this long non-coding RNA (1908 nucleotides) under Homo sapiens (human). RNAcentral's name for it is "HSALNT0317827". The record is from RNAcentral. Lineage: Eukaryota; Metazoa; Chordata; Mammalia; Primates; Hominidae.
CCCGUCUCUACUAAAAAUACAAAAAAUUAGCCGCACGCGGUGGUGGGCGCCUGUAGUCCCAGCUACUUGGGAGGCUGAGGCAGGAGAAUGGUGUGAACCCGGGAGGUGGAGUUUGCAGUGAGCCGAGAUCGCGCCACUGCACUCAAGCCUGGGAGACAGAGCAAGACUCCGUCUCAAAAAAAAAAAAAAAAGAAAAAGAAAAACUUUUCACCCUUUAGAUGAACUUUUAGAUGCUGUCCAGCUCCACCCUUUCACCUUGGCUGAAAAACAAAGGGUAGCUUUGGGCAUCCUAAACCAGAGGCUCAGGAAUGACCCUAUACCAGUGGCUUACUUUUCUAAACUAGACCAGGUGGUGGCUGAGUGGCCAGGAUACUUGCGAGCUGUAGUCGCCACCACUCUAUUGACAGAAGCCAGUAAGUUUACCUUGGGACAACCAUCAGAUGUCGUGAUCCCCCCCAUGAAGUAUAGAGAGUCCUAGAGGCAAAGGGACACCAAUAGCUAACGAGGGGCUUGUUACUGAAAUAUCAGACCCUUCUGCAUGACACCCCAGAUGUUACCCUUAAAGUAUGUCGAGUUUUAAACUCUUCUCCCUUGUUGCUGGACUUCGUGUCCCAGGAAACAGAUCCCCAACUCAUUCACUCCUGUGUGGAAACCAUAGAACAGACCUCCUCUAGCAGGCCUGACCUCAAAGAUGAGCCCUUGAGCCCCUGCAUAACCCCGAUGUUGAGUGGCUCAGAGAUGAAAGUGGUUUUAUUCAUAAGGGAGAAAGAAAGAUCGGUUAUGCAGUAGUUAGCCGAGAAGAAGGCAUUGAGGCCAAAGCUUGACCUCCCCAGACAUCUGCUCAAAAAGUGGAAUUAAUUGGUCUAAUCAGGGUCCUCCAACUGAGAAAAGACUUAAGAGUCAACAUAUUUACCGAUUCCAAAUAUGGGUGCCUGGUGCUCCACGCUCAUGACGCCAUAUGGAAAGAAAAGGGAGCGCUAACAGCUAAGGAAUCCCCCACACAGCAUUGCUCUGAGAUCUUGGAAUUGUAGAUGCUGUCCAGCUCCCAAAGGAGGUGGCAGUUACUCACUGCAGGGGACACCAAAAGGGGGACACCUCUAUCAUCCCGGAGGAAAUGCCCUGAUGGACAGGACAGCCAAGGCCACAGGUGAAGAACACCAGUGCUCCAGGCCACGGACUAAUGCCAGAUUGCAACACUUCUACAUCAAGAAAAUGUGGCAAUAAGGCUGCCAAACCCUCCUGUCUUCUGAACCGAAUCCUUGUAGAUUCUGGAUAUCGCACCUUCAUAGGAAUAUUCUGAGAAUAUUUUCUCCUAUUCGCUUCCAGGAGCCGUCGUAGCAGCCGAUUAGGACUGGCUGCUGGUGUGGUGAUGACCUAGAGGGCUUCUCCCAGAGUCUCGCUCUGUGGCCCACGCCUGAGUUCAGUGGUGUGAUUUCCGCUCCCUCCAACCUCUGCCUCCUGGGUUCAAGCGAUUCUCCUGCCUCAGCCUCCUGAGUAGCUGGGAUGACAGGCAUGAACCACCACGCCCCACUGUUUUCGUAUUUUUAGUAGAAACGGGGUUUCACUAUGAUGGCCAGGCUGUGAAUUGCCUAUUCUUAUCUUCUGCACAUUUGUCUAUUGUCGGUCUUUUUCUCGUCGAUUUACAAGCAUUCCUUUUUUCAUUCUGAAUAUUAAUCCAUUGCUUUCUGAUGCUGUAACUAAGUCCUCCUAGUGGUUUGUCUUCUUGGUUAAGCCAGAUGUUAACUUGGAUUUUUCCUGCAUAAAACUGAAGACUCAAGAUGCAUCAAGCACUGUAUACAGAAAAGUGCUGCGUAUCCUACAGAAAGCUACAGACAGUUGGGGGUCAGAAUCAUUCGGAUUGUUUCAAGUUUGGGGCUAUUAUAAAUAAAGCUGCUAUAAACGUUUGCA